CGGACCAGGGAGGCGGUUGGCCCGGGCGGGGCCUGCACUGCUCGGGCCGCCCCCGCGACUCCAGCCCCCGGCGGGAGGAGCCUCAGGCCGGCGGCCGAAUUGUGGGGGUGGUCUUGAACUCAAGCAGUCCACCCACCUUGGCCUCCCAGAGUGCUAGGAUUACAAGUGUGAGCCACCGUAUCUGGCACUAUCCUUUCUCUUUCCUCCUCCAGAACAAGACAGAAUUCAGCACCUAACCAGUGAGAAAGCCCUAGCUGCCUGAAUAAGAAAGCAAACCUGGGUUUUCCACAAGUUUGUGAGGGGCAGGCUAAGAUCAUUCAGUGUAAUGGUUAACUACAGAAGCUGGAUGGAUUAUCAUACACAUCCCUCAGUCUCUUAAGAGCCCUGGAAAGGCAAGAAACUAAUCCAAAAAAGAACUGAAACAAACUGGGCUGCUCUCUGGGAAGUCCAGAACUUGUGAGAAAUCCAGGACUGGCUGCUGC
Molecule: long non-coding RNA, 482 nt
Organism: Nycticebus coucang (slow loris)
Lineage: Eukaryota; Metazoa; Chordata; Mammalia; Primates; Lorisidae
Exons: 3
Source: RefSeq, a predicted model, not a curated record